AUGAGUGACAACCCCAUUAUACCCCCAAGUCAAGAGAAUUUUAUUGAUGCUGAUAAUGUUGUUGGAGUUGGAGAGGAAGAGGUUCAUGACAUCCCUGAUGAUAUUGGUAAUGCGGUUGGAGGUGAGGAGGAUGAGGUUUCUCCUUGCAUUGCUAAUGCAAAGAAAAAACCUCGUGUUCUUUUUGAAAAAAAUAAGAAGCCAAAGUCAAGCACAACACUUGUUAUCCAAGAUAAAAUCACAAAGAUAGCUGAAUCUGCCGCUUCUUUUACUUCAAUGAAGCAAGGAGAGGUGACAAUCAAGGAAGUCAUGGAUAUGGUCUUGGAAUGUGGGGCCGUGCACGGUUCCGAUGAGCAUGAUAUUGCCACACAGUUAUUUGUGAAGAAGGACCAGCGGGAAAUGUUCAAGACCCUUCCUAAAGAGUUUAGGUUCAAUUGGCUUAAGAGGCGAUACAACGACAAGUAUGGAAAUUGA
Molecule: ribosomal RNA, 471 nt
Filed under: Triticum aestivum (bread wheat)
Lineage: Eukaryota; Viridiplantae; Streptophyta; Magnoliopsida; Poales; Poaceae
Description: partial small subunit ribosomal RNA
Source: RNAcentral